Molecule: ribosomal RNA, 489 nt
Filed under: uncultured bacterium
Lineage: Bacteria
Description: bacterial SSU rRNA
Rfam family: Bacterial small subunit ribosomal RNA
Source: RNAcentral
CGGCGCGCCUAACACAUGCAAGUCGAACGAAGUUACUUUUCCUGAAUUUUUCGGAAGGAAGGAGCUGUAACUUAGUGGCGGACGGGUGAGUAACGCGUGAGUAACCUGCCUUUCAGAGGGGGAUAACGUUUGGAAACGAACGCUAAUACCGCAUAACAUAUUGGAGUCGCAUGGCUUUGAUAUCAAAGGAGCAAUCCGCUGAGAGAUGGACUCGCGUCCAAUUAGCUAGUUGGUGAGGUAAAGGCCCACCAAGGCGACGAUUGGUAGCCGGACUGAGAGGUUGAACGGCCACAUUGGGACUGAGACACGGCCCAGACUCCUACGGGAGGCAGCAGUGGGGAAUAUUGCACAAUGGGGGAAACCCUGAUGCAGCGACGCCGAGUGAGGGAAGAAGGUUUUCGGAUUGUAAACCUCUGUCCUUGGUGAAGAUAAUGACGGUAGCCAAGGAGGAAGCUACGGCUAACUACGUGCCAGCCGCCGCAGUAAAAC